AUGCAGGCGAAGUCACAAGGCCUAGGUCACAGCAGCCAGCCAACGUCCCCCCCCCCACCGCCCCCCGCAGCCAGCCUUCUGCAAAAGGAGCAGAGGCCCCUGAGCCUUUCCCCACACCCCUCCCUCCCUGCCCUUCGCAGGACCCAGCCUUUUGCUGGCAGAACCAAAUCCGAGUCCCCCAGCCAGCGCAGGAGCCUCAGUUUCCCUACAAGUGGGGCUGCCAGAGGCCUGGGGCCCUCGGAGGGGUCGCUCCCGGGUCGGGCGGCGGCGGCUCCGUCGGGGGAGCGGGCCGGGACUCGGGCGCAGGCGGGCGAGCCGGCGGCGGAGCGGCGGGGCCAGACGCUGUGCGGGCGGAGGUCACUUACUGUGUCCGGGCCGGGCCGGGGCGCCGCUGUCCCCGCAGAGCCCGGCGCCGCCUUAAAUAGCCCUCGGCCCCGCCUCCCGCCUCCCGCCUCCCGCCCCGCCCCGCCCGCCGCAGCCCUGGAAAACCCGCGGGCCCAGGCCAAGGCCGCGGCGGGGGCUGCCGGUGGCCCCGAACCCGGAGCGAGGGGGGCGGGGGGCGGCGUCACACCUUCCCAGCGGGGGCGGGGCGGCCAGGCUGGCCCGGCGUCGCCGCGGUCCCUGGGGCGCCGGGGAGCUCGGCCCUUGGGCUCAGCCUGCCGCGGGCCCAUUGUGCGACGCCGGCUUCUGAUUGGCUGGCCGCGGGGCCCCGCGCCCCCGACCCCAACCCCGCGGCUCGGCGCGGCACCCGCCCAGCCCGGGGGUCCCGGGGGUCCCGGGGGAUGCACCCCAGCGCCCUGGGCCGCGCCGCUCCCUCGGGGCAGAGGACACCGGCGGCCUCCGGGGCAGAGCGCUCCCUCCCUGGACGCCGGGGUGGCCCCCGGGGCAGAGCGCUCCCUCCCUGGACGCCGGGGUGGCCCCCGGGGCAGAGCGCUCCCUCCCUGGACAUCGGGGUGGCCCCCGGGGCAGAGCGCUCGCUCCCUCCCUGGACGCCGGGGUGGCCACAGGAGCCAGGGAAGCAGCCCUGCCCGAGGCCGCACCCUGGGCGCACGGUGCCGCAGGGAUGCCAGCCAUCCACCAGGAGCAGUCUGCUGGGUGCCCAGCACUCGCUCUCAUUAG
This 1119-nucleotide long non-coding RNA is filed under the name Canis lupus familiaris (dog). RNAcentral's name for it is "lncRNA (ENSCAFG00000057555.1)". Lineage: Eukaryota; Metazoa; Chordata; Mammalia; Carnivora; Canidae. The record is from RNAcentral.